Molecule: ribosomal RNA, 496 nt
Filed under: uncultured Gram-positive bacterium
Lineage: Bacteria
Description: bacterial SSU rRNA
Rfam family: Bacterial small subunit ribosomal RNA
Source: RNAcentral
AGAGUUUGAUCCUGGCUCAGGAUAAACGCUGGCGGCGCGCUUAACACAUGCAAGUCGAACGAAGUUUUUCUUUCGGGAGGAACUUAGUGGCGGACGGGUGAGUAACGCGUGGGUAACCUGCCCUGUACAGGGGGACAACAGCUGGAAACGGCUGCUAAUACCGCAUAAGCCCUUAGCACUGCAUGGUGCAUAGGGAAAAGGAGCAAUCCGGUACAGGAUGGACCCGCGUCUGAUUAGCCAGUUGGCAGGGUAACGGCCUACCAAAGCGACGAUCAGUAGCCGAUCUGAGAGGAUGUACGGCCACAUUGGGACUGAGACACGGCCCAGACUCCUACGGGAGGCAGCAGUGGGGAAUAUUGCACAAUGGAGGAAACUCUGAUGCAGCGACGCCGCGUGAGUGAAGAAGUAUUUCGGUAUGUAAAGCUCUAUCAGCAGGGAAGAAAAUGACGGUACCUGACUAAGAAGCACCGGCUAAAUACGUGCCAGCAGCCGCGGU